GCACAAGCGGAGGAACAUGUGGUUUAAUUCGAUGAUACGCGAGGAACCUUACCUGGCUUAAAUGUAGAGUGCAUUUUUUAGAGAUAGAAAUUCCCUUCGGGGCUUUCUGCAAGGUGCUGCAUGGUUGUCGUCAGCUCGUGCCGUGAGGUGUCGGGUUAAGUCCCAUAACGAGCGCAACCCUUAUCGUUAGUUGCCAUCUGGUAAUGCAGGGGACUCUAGCGAAACUGCCACCGUAAGGUGAGAGGAAGGUGGGGAUGACGUCAAAUCAGCACGGCCCUUAUGUCCAGGGCUACACACGUGUUACAAUGGUCGGUACAGAGGGCAGCUACCUGUUGACAGGAUGCGAAUCUCGAAAGCCGGUCUCAGUUCGGAUCGGAGUCUGCAACCCGACUCCGUGAAGCUGGAUUCGCUAGUAAUCGCGCAUCAGCCAUGGCGCGGUGAAUACGUUCCCGGGCCUU
This 458-nucleotide ribosomal RNA is filed under the name uncultured Sphingobacteriales bacterium. RNAcentral's name for it is "bacterial SSU rRNA". It matches the Rfam family "Bacterial small subunit ribosomal RNA", at positions 923 to 1382 of the family's 1533-position model. Lineage: Bacteria; Pseudomonadati; Bacteroidota; Sphingobacteriia; Sphingobacteriales. The record is from RNAcentral.